RNAcentral lists this ribosomal RNA (597 nucleotides) under Triticum aestivum (bread wheat). RNAcentral's name for it is "partial small subunit ribosomal RNA". Lineage: Eukaryota; Viridiplantae; Streptophyta; Magnoliopsida; Poales; Poaceae. The record is from RNAcentral.
AUGAAAGCUAUGGUCUGGAACAUCAGAGGUUUUGGCGCUAGGGGGUGCCGAGACCAAAUCCGUGAUUUGGUGAGAGAUGCUAAUGUCGAUCUGGUUUGCCUCAUUGAAACCUUUAAAGCCUCCUUUUCCAACAACGAACUGUCUUCGAUUGCUGGGCCGAUCAUUUUUGUGUGGCGUUGUUUGCCGGCUUUUGGGCAUUCAGGUGGCAUUCUUAUUGGUGCAAAGUUGGAUUAUAUUGACUUCAUGGAGUUUGAUCACAGGAUCUUUUGGGCAAGUAUGGUGGUGUUUCACAAGAGUCUUAAUAUUUUGUGGGAGAUUAUGGUAGUUUACGGUCUGGCUGAUCACUCCCUUUCCUCGCUCUUGUUGGAUGAGAUCACGACCAAGAUUGACUCGUGUAACCUUCCGCUGGUGAUCGGUGGCGACUUUAAUCUUCUUAGGUUCCCGGGUGAAAACAAUAAUUCUAAUUUCUCCUGGCCUUUGGCGGAUGUGUUUAAUGACUUUAUCGCAGAAUGUGCCCUCCACAAAAUUCCUAGGACUGGAUCGUGUUUCACUUGGUCUAAUCACCAGGCUAAUCUGAUUCGUUCUUCUCAACUCUAG